This 1094-nucleotide long non-coding RNA is filed under the name Monodelphis domestica (gray short-tailed opossum). RNAcentral describes it as "lncRNA (ENSMODG00000041269.1)". Lineage: Eukaryota; Metazoa; Chordata; Mammalia; Didelphimorphia; Didelphidae. The record is from RNAcentral.
UCUUGGUAUUGCAGGGUCCAAGGCUAUAGAAAAUUUGAUGGCCCUUUGGGCAUGACUUCAAAUUGCUCUCCAGAAUGGUUGUACCAGUUUGUAGCUCCAUUUUUCUUCACCAUAAACUAUCCUCCAUUAAGUUUGUCUUCCUGGAUUACAUAGGGUAAAAUCUUUGAAUUACCCCUUCUACCACUUUUUUGAGUAUCUCAAUGAAUCACCAGACAUUGAUUAAAUGUCCAGUCUGUGCCAACCACUGUGCUAGAUAAAAUAAAUAUAACUGCCUUAAGUGAAACAAUCCCUCCUCACAAUGAACUUCCACAUUUUCCUCACUAAAGUCCUAUGAUGCCUUGCCAUGUCACAAAGGUGAUCCUGUCUAUCAAAAUUAACUCCAGCAGAGAACAAUUACCCAAAAUACCUAAGUAUAGUCUGGCUGAUGUACUGGGAACAAAAGAAUAGUGAAAUUAAAUAUGAUGAAGCCAUUACACUGAAGUUGACUUCCAGUUAUGAUCCAAUAGGAGAAGAGCCAAGGAAGCCUCUGUCUUCGGAGCACUGGAUCUAUUCUUGUCCUGGUCCCAACUCAUGUGGAGUCUUGGUCAUUCUACUUUCAGGGAUCCUUUCAUCAAUGGCGAGUUUUUGCAAGUGGUUGCUGUUUCCUGUAACUGUAUUGUGUGGUGAUGAAAAGCUUUUUGGCUGCUAAGCAGGAACCAAGUGUAAAUACAAAGGGCUUCAAGGCAGGGACUUUAUCAUUCUCCCUGGCAGCUUGAGGGUGAAGAGUAUAGGUCUUGGAGGGAGGGAGAGGCAGUGGAAACAGCAGCUUCAUGCCCUGGUGAGGGUAUCUUAUUUCCCUACUUGGAAGCUGUAUGUUUGUGAAAGCGUAGUAUGUUUUUUUUUCUUUUCCCCUUGUUUAUUCUGUUCUUUUCUGAUCCUAGGAGAAUGGGCAUCCAAUACCAGGUAGCAAGCCUGUGAGCUUCAGAAGGUGAGGAAAGCCACCAAAAUUCCAGCACCUGGAGUCCAUAGCAAAGCUUACUACAGAAGCUAUCAUCAAUGAGGAAUCAGUCAUGCAGAAGGAUCUGCUGGAAAUAAACCAGGGGCAGAUCAAUGCA